RNAcentral lists this ribosomal RNA (320 nucleotides) under uncultured bacterium. RNAcentral's name for it is "bacterial SSU rRNA". It matches the Rfam family "Bacterial small subunit ribosomal RNA", at positions 28 to 334 of the family's 1533-position model. The record is from RNAcentral.
GAUGAACGCUAGCGACAGGCUUAACACAUGCAAGUCGAGGGGCAGCGGGGAGCAAGCUUGCUUGCUCUGCCGGCGACCGGCGCACGGGUGAGUAACACGUAUGCAACCUGCCCUCCGCAGGGGGAUAACCCGGAGAAAUCCGGACUAAUACCGCGUGGUACACCAGUGGGGCAUCCCACGGGUGUUAAAAGGAAGCGAUUCCGGCGGAGGAUGGGCAUGCGGCGCAUUAGCUUGUUGGCGGGGUAACGGCCCACCAAGGCGACGAUGCGUAGGGGUUCUGAGAGGAAGGUCCCCCACACUGGUACUGAGACACGGACCAG